CAUAUAUCUAAGUAAGUGUUAUACAUUUACCUAAACUUUUUUACUGUGUGAUUUUUUUCCAUAGGUACUCAAGUAAGAAAUGAUAGUCUUUACUAACUACAGCAACCAUGUUAUCCUGCUGUUUUAUAUUUUAGAGAAAAUUUAUGUUUAACUUUGUGAUUGGCGAGCUAUUUGCUAUCCAAGGAAUUAACCAUGGAGUUGCAUGUCAUAGUAGCAAUUGUGGGUUUGUUUGCAGGUAAGUAGUAGAGAGAAAAUGGUAUCUGUAACAGUGCUAUAGACCUUGCAGUACUGCAAGAUUCCAGGUAUACUUGAUGGUUCUUGGAAUGAUGGUAGUGAAUAAGCUUAAUUGUGGGGUUCAAGGAAAAAAGCUGUGUCUACACACAUUUGUCAUAAUGUGUUUUUAGGAUCCUGUCAAGAAGACAUGGUAAACCUCAUCAUGAUCAAGAAUGAGACUUUGCUUGCAUCCAGGCUUCCCAAAAGUUGUUUGAUAGUAUACAGGCAUGAGAUGGUGUGACUCUAACUCAUUAGAUGCCUUCGUCUUUUCAGUCAUCAUGUGAUGGAAAGAAAGCUAUCAACUUCAUUCCUGAGACUUCCUGCAACACAGGAGCAGCAGGACAUCUGGGGAUGAGAAGAUGGAGAGAUCAUCCUUAUAUAAUGUUGCAGUCUGGAAGCAUCACUCUCAAAAAGCCAUUGUAGAGAAUCCAAGCCGAGUUUAAGAGUGCUGUGGAAAUACACUGCUGCUACUGCUGUUUCUAUUACUGUUUGAUGCUGGGACUCUUAUGCUCCAACCACGUUUUCACCCAGCUGAGUCGCCUUCGUAUCACGCCUUUCCAGUUCAACAAAGUGUGGACAGCUGUGCAGAAAUAUGAUUGGACAAAAAUGUUGUGAUCUAAAGCUAAUGGACUGAGUGUGGAAACCCAACAAGGCCUGUCUGUCUAGAUUCUUCUUGGCCUCUCUGAGCAGCGUUCCUUCCUUCUGGGUGUAAGGCAAGACCCUCUCUGGAGUGGGGGUGUUAUGACCUACAGUCAAACAAGAGAAAUAAAGUUCAUCACAGUGAGUCAAGAUGCCUCAUUCCAAGCUAUGGUGUAAAUUUCAUAGACUAAGAAAUGUGCAAGUUUCCUUUUUGCUAAGUAUGACACAUCACCUCUCUCUCACAAAGGGAUAUAUGUUGUUACUAAUGUAAACUCAUUAGUUUUGAUCAAUGUUUUGUGAACUCAAAA
This 1220-nucleotide long non-coding RNA is filed under the name Homo sapiens (human). RNAcentral's name for it is "long intergenic non-protein coding RNA 1203". The record is from RNAcentral. Lineage: Eukaryota; Metazoa; Chordata; Mammalia; Primates; Hominidae.